Molecule: ribosomal RNA, 938 nt
Filed under: Cordyceps cicadae
Lineage: Eukaryota; Fungi; Ascomycota; Sordariomycetes; Hypocreales; Cordycipitaceae
Description: SSU rRNA
Rfam family: Eukaryotic small subunit ribosomal RNA
Source: RNAcentral
AAGGCAUUAUAAGCGAACUGCGAAUGGCUCAUUAUAUAAGUUAUCGUUUAUUUGAUAGUACCUUACUACUUGGAUAACCGUGGUAAUUCUAGAGCUAAUACAUGCUAAAAAUCCCGACUUCGGAAGGGAUGUAUUUAUUAGAUUAAAAACCAAUGCCCUCUGGGCUCCUUGGUGAUUCAUGAUAACUCUUCGAAUCGCACGGCCUUGCGCCGGCGAUGGUUCAUUCAAAUUUCUUCCCUAUCAACUUUCGAUGUUUGGGUAUUGGCCAAACAUGGUUGCAACGGGUAACGGAGGGUUAGGGCUCGACCCCGGAGAAGGAGCCUGAGAAACGGCUACUACAUCCAAGGAAGGCAGCAGGCGCGCAAAUUACCCAAUCCCGAUUCGGGGAGGUAGUGACAAUAAAUACUGAUACAGGGCUCUUUUGGGUCUUGUAAUUGGAAUGAGUACAAUUUAAAUCUCUUAACGAGGAACAAUUGGAGGGCAAGUCUGGUGCCAGCAGCCGCGGUAAUUCCAGCUCCAAUAGCGUAUAUUAAAGUUGUUGUGGUUAAAAAGCUCGUAGUUGAACCUUGGGCCUGGCUGGCCGGUCCGCCUCACCGCGUGCACUGGUCCGGCCGGGCCUUUCCCUCUGUGGAACCCCAUGCCCUUCACUGGGCGUGGCGGGGAAACAGGACGUUUACUUUGAAAAAAUUAGAGUGCUCCAGGCAGGCCUAUGCUCGAAUACAUUAGCAUGGAAUAAUGAAAUAGGACGCGUGGUUCUAUUUUGUUGGUUUCUAGGACCGCCGUAAUGAUUAAUAGGGACAGUCGGGGGCAUCAGUAUUCAAUUGUCAGAGGUGAAAUUCUUGGAUUUAUUGAAGACUAACUACUGCGAAAGCAUUUGCCAAGGAUGUUUUCAUUAAUCAGGAACGAAAGUUAGGGGAUCGAAGACGAUCAGAUACCGU